AUUCUAAUAGUUUAAUUUAAAACACUUUAUUUUCAAUAAAGAGAAAGAUAAAUUUCUUUAGAAUA
This 65-nucleotide transfer RNA is filed under the name Batracomorphus lineatus. Its description in RNAcentral is "tRNA-Glu". The record is from RNAcentral. Lineage: Eukaryota; Metazoa; Arthropoda; Insecta; Hemiptera; Cicadellidae.